CUUCAGACAGAGGUAGCAGUUAAAAGUCCUGUUGGGGUCCACAUGGAUCAGGGGUUGACCAUCAGAUUAUUCUGUGAUAAAUCCAUAACCAGGAAGUGUUUCUCAUCUACACAAAUUGAUGCACAGUCGGGAGUCCGCAUAUGGUGUUUUAUUUUGAAAUACCGGAUGACAUGCACGGUUUUCGUGCUUGACUUCCUGUCUAGGGACUGACGCACAUUGGAAGCGUAGAGCAGCAAAAAUAGGCUUGGUGCGAUGGAGCUUAUACGCAUCCUAUAUGCUUUACUGCAUUGAUUAGAAUGGGAACCUAUUUGCUGCGUGAUACGUGACGCUGCUGCCACGCUCUAAAUACGCAUCCUGUAUGUUUGAGCCUUAAGUGUUGAUGCCUGAGUAGGUAUCAGCAGAGGAAACAGCUCUUUUUUUCCUACAUUUUGGACGUUAAAAACUCACAAAAAAUGAUACAUUUAUUGCAACAAAAAGCAAGGACUAUUUUGUCCACUGGGGGCGCCAUAGCUGACACAAAUCAAAAGUUUCUCACAGGAGCUUUUAGGAAACAGCUGAUUCAAAUAGGCAGUAUGUUUUUAAAUGAGAAAAUGCUGACCUGUUCUAUGGCGAAUAAUUGCCUCAAUUUAAUUUGUGUAAAAUGUAUUUAUUUUACAUUUAUUUUGAAACAUUAUUUCAUUCAGAUACAUUUAGAGAGACGUUGUUUUGCGGAGAGUAAUAACCAUUAGUGUGUAUUAUUGCAAGUGCUGAGAGGAGGAAGAAAGUAGUGCCCAGAGACGCUGCAGACAUGAGCAUGAAUGAAUGUCUUUGAAAUUACUGACUAACACAUGAGUAAGAGUGAAUAAUAGGGAAAAUAUUAUUUUUGAAAACCAAAGUGCCAGUUGAUGUAUGAAAGUUGCUCACUGAUUUAUUUGAGUGUAUAAAUGGUAUGUGACGAGUCAGUCUGCAAAGGUGAAAAAAACGUGAUCUCUGCACUCCCAGACUCAUUUUUUCUCUCUCAGACUUAACUGCUUUGUGAGCUGUGGUCCUGUGUGUCAGCUAGAAAGUAUAAACAUGAGCACAGAGGCCCUCGAAGUCUUGAAAAUAAGCUUAGUUAUUUGAUUAUACAGCAGGAGACUGGAUUAUAUAAUUACACAACAGAAACAGAAAGAACUUUUCACUCUUUAAGUGUAUAUUUGCUCUCCGCAGAAAUAAUCCCAAAGAUACCACAUUAGAGGUUUUCCAGGUUUUCCAAGAGCCUUUUGGAACAAUGGUUUUGGAGUUUCCUUAUUUUAGCUAUAAAAAUAUUUUAGUUCGAAGAAACUAAUUUUAUCCAUGAAAACACCAAAAAGUACAUUUGGCAAGCAUCUGUUUGUAUGAUUUGCAUUAAGCCCACUGCGGAAGCUAACAAUAUUGGCUUCCCCAAUUUUGUAAAUUAUAUGGGAGAAAGUACAAGGCCUUAAAUCUAAAAUGGGUUGUUGUUGGCGUAGGUGAACAUGUUCUGGCAGAACAAAUUGUAAUAGUUUAUUUUAUGAAUACAGUUUUUCUGGACGCAGUGCCUUGGGAGCGGAGACGAGCAAAGUAAGCUCAUGUUGUGUGGGCAGCACAGAGCUGACCUCAGGAUGGGAUAAAAGUUCUGACUGUGCUCUAACAUUAACCAGUCAAACCAGUGCUUGAAGCGUUUUACCAUCAGUCCACAUAAACAGCUUUAUAUUGAUUGUGAUGUUUAUCAAUAUUUCUGAGUUAUUACUCUCAAACAAUCAGCAGAUUCAGUAAAAUUUUCACUGGUUUUAGUUUCCAAGACAACCACCUAAGAGCACUGCUUUUGAGGCGUCACUGAUGAUGUCUGUCUGUCAGUAAUUAUAACAGCAACAACUGGCUGGAUUAUAAUGUGAUUUUAUUGAGUAUUUUACCUCUCAGUGUGAAUUAUUGUUUCUUUUUUGACACCUCACCUGUGAUUUGUGUCUAGUUCUCAUUGUCAAAUGUUAGCGUGUGUCCUGGUAUGAGAAGUUUUAUGUCUCUUAGCUAUGUUAAUGUUUGUAUGCAGACAGGCAAAACUUCAUAUUCUCCUUUAUAAAGAUUACAACAGAAUCAGUCUGCGCUCAAAGCAGUAAAUAAAGCAUUACUACUUUAAAACAAGCUUAAUGUCAAGCUUAAGUGAAAAUACAGGCCUUGUCUCCCAACCAAAGUUUGGAGCAGCUAACCAGGAGCCUGCAGAAGGUGCCAGAGGAAAGGCCCUCUUAAAGGAAUAUUCUGGCAUAAAAUUUAUUUAGGAUCAAACACAUCAUAAAACUGAGUGUUACUUUAUCAUUUCCUUUAAGUAAUAUUUACCAUAUUAAUCAUUUUGCACUGCAGACGCGGUAGAUCUUCUGCCUUAGCGUCUCGGUCUGAUUGCAUUUCCAUGAAGAAAUGAUCAUAAAUGUUCUUCCUUGAGCUGCGUCACCCCGCUGUAGUCCGUAAUGGACUGGCCAAUGGUCUUGCUACAAACAAGUGACUGCUGGAAGAGAGUAGGUGAGUUAUGUUUAGUCUCUUUGCUAAAGAAAUCAGGCAAAGUUAAAAAGAUGUUUGAUGGCUGGGACCCUAUAUGUACUGUUGAUGAAGUUAGGUGCUGACUUUUGUUUUUGUGAAAUUAAGUAAGUGGUAUAUUUUGUGCAGCCCAACAUCUAACUGUGACCUUGGUGCUAUGGUGUUUGUAAGAGUAAAAAACUUGUGCUGUUUACAACUGGUAUAGCUGAAAACAACUAACAACAACUGACAACAGCUAACAACAGCUGACAAUUGUAAACAGCAGCUAACAGUAGGCGUCCAUCUUGGUUUUCUGACUUGUUUACUGGAAAACCGUCAACUUGGGUGUAACGUCAUUCCCAGCUCCGACAUCCGACUUCUGAGGUAACUGGAACGCAGCAUUAUUUCUUAAACUGUUUCAUACAGUCGAGCUUCCUUCUACCACCACUGAAUUUGACACUUGCAGGUCUUUCAAAAGAAUGCUGGUUUUAGGCUGUUCCCCAUGUCCUUCGCUUUUGAAACCCAAGGCUUUGCCUCAGUGAAGCCACAAUAAGAUCACGUCCUCCUUUUGACCCUGUUUGAAAAUAUUCCUCAAGUGGCAGAAGCAGAACAAAUCUGUUCCUGUUUGUUCCUGUUCCUGGUGGACUAGUGCGAGCCUCAUGUCAGUGGUCUCCCCAGGCCUUGAAGUUGCACCUGACCGCUCCUCCCAUCUGCCUGACCCCAUCUGUCUCCACCUUGUCCCCAGUUUGGAGCGGCCCACCCUCUGCCUGUCUCAGCUCUGCAUGCAAAGAAGCCCCGGAUCUUGCCUGGGAGGAAGUGGAAUGUUUUUACUGGGAAGUUUGGGAUUAGACAAUCAUUGCAGGAUUUUCAUUCCAUCUCUUGGUAGCUGCACUGCAAAGGAAGCCCCCUUUUUUUUUCUUACAUAAGUGAGCCAUCGCCAAUGUGGAUUAAUGAGCUUUAUCCCAUGCAGAGAAAACAAACUCGACUGCUGUCCAAAUAUUGCUGAACAGAGUGUCAGACAGCAAACUACAGCAGGGUCUUGUUAAGGACACUGUCUCUGUUACACUAUGAUUCACAGCCAUGGGACAAUUUUGAAGUGAGUUUUAUCCCCUGACAUUAUUAAUCUUAUCUGUCAGAUGAUUUCUGUUGGGUCUAAAACCUGCAACAAAUGACUGAAAACACAUAAAGAAGAGAAAGACAAUGGUUUAGAUUACUUACUCGAGGAGAAUGGGCAGAGAUAGUUUCAGUUACAAUUUCAAAAAAACAAUCCAAAUUUAGUUACCCAUAAUUUGAGGAAUUGUAACUUUUCGGGCUUUUUCUGAAAGACUUUCCAGUCUUGACAUUUUAGUUCUACUAAUUUUGCCUUACUGGCUUCCGUCCCCAUUUUUAUGUGUUUUGGUCCAGCUUAGGUGACACCUAGGGUGUCCUAUUAAGCUGGGUUCUUUCAAUGGGGUAGUGAUAAAAAUUCCUUAUGUGGUAAUUCUCGCUUCUACUCUUGCAAGUGGAGAAUUCUUGCCUUUGCUUCCACAAUAAGGUCACUACUUACAAUCCCACUGUUUUGGUAUGAAUAGGAUAUAUCUAGUGAUAUAUCACUAUUCCAAUCACACUUUUAACACGUGUUUUGGUUUACAGAAUUUAAACUUUUCCAAUUAGGCCUUUGUCCAUGGCUUUAUAGGACCCGCACGUCCUUUGUCCACGGCUUUAUAGGACCCACGCGUCCUUUGAUUUAAAUUGUCUGUAUAUCUAUCAUCCCAUCUAUAAUAUUUCGCCUUUCAUAUUUAUUACUCAUUUCAUAUUUAUUACUCAUUUCAAUAGCCCAUGUUCUUUAUAUCACACUUUUAUCUCUUAGGAUGUUUAGCAUAUUUAGCCUGUAUAUAUUGUAUAUACUUAGUAUUUUUAUUAUUUUUAUUCUGCAUUGUACUUACUUCUUCUUAUAUUUAAUUUUAUUUUGUAUUUUCUUUUUGCUGCUGUAACAAGAGAAUUUCCCAGUUUGGGAUCAAUAAAGUAUAUCUAUUUAUCUAUCUUUAUAAAAAAAUAUAUAUUUAUCUCCUCCAAGUUUAGCACUUCUUCCUCCUCUGUCUCUUCUCUGUUCACACUUUCUCUUCAUUUCUGUCGAAUAACACUUGCUGUCUCUCCCUCUUCUAGUCAUGCUUGAUACUUUUUUCUACAGCUCUUCACCUCGUGACCAAAAACUCUGCAAUUCUCUGAUGUUGUGGUUCAUGACCUCGGUCAGGGUACUGUUCUUCACCUCUCUGCUCUUGUGAUUCAUAACCUUUGUCAAAACUUAUACUUCCUCUAUCUCCUUCUCUAUUGAAAUUCCUGCCUCUGCUGUUCUCUGCACUUUACUAUGGUUACUUCUUUAAGUUCCAAUAAGGUAUAAUAUCAAUCAGUUGGCUCAAAUGUUUAACAGGGAUGCCAGCUGAGGUCAGGAAACCUCUUCUUCUCCAGCAACACGUCUACAUGUACAACUUACACUUCGUAGACUGUAACAGUUUAGUCGCAGUUUUGUCUUUUGAUAGCUACAUGCUUCUGCAUAGGGAGGGAUUCUUUGGCUGCUGUGACUCUGGAGGAGUCAAGGGCGUAACUGGCCUCUGAUGAAUCAUUUUAUCAUUUGUGCAGAGAACAGAGACUGUACAGAAAAUUUAACUUGAUAAAAAUUUGCAUAUUACUUCUAUUACACUCUAUAGCCACAAAUAAUGCCUAGAACAGCACCUAACUUCAUCAAAGGUACAUAUAGGGUCCCAGCCACAGCACUAGCCACCAAACAUCUUUUUAACUUUGCCUAAUUUCUUCAGCAAAGAGACUAAACAGAACUCACCUACUCUCUUCCAGCAGACGCUUGUUUAUAGUGAGACCUUGGACAAGUCCAUCACCGACUGCAGCGGGGUGACGCAGCUCAAGGAAGAACAUUUAUGAUCGUUUCUUCAUGGAAAUGCAAUCAGACCGAGACGCUAAGGCAGAAGAACUACCACAUCUGCAGUGUAAAAUGACUAAUAUUGUGAUUAUCACUUCAAGGAAAUGAUAAAAACUGAUCAUAAAUGUUCUUCCUUGAGCUGUGUCACCCCGCACCAGUCUUUAAUGGACUGGCCUGAUGUCUCGCUUCAAAGAAGCAGCUGCUGGAAGAGAGUAGGUGAGUUGUGUUUAGUCUCUCUGCUGAAUUAGGCAAAGUUAAAAAGAUGUUUGGUGGCUAGUGCUGUGGCUGGGACCCUAUAUGUACGGUUGAUGAAGUUCUGAGCAUUAUUCGUGGCUAUAGUGUGGUGUUUUGGUUGAGGUUUGUUAAUGGCUCCUCAGGCUGCUGUGUAUUGCUAUCCUGCGGUCAUUACUAAAGUUGGUAUAACUAGAGAAGCAAGCAGUGAGCAACAUUCAUCUCUUAGAGGGGUGUCUAACUUGGUGUUACAGUGUGUUUAACCCAAAUUAAUUUUACGCCGGAAUAUCCCUUUAAAUGUAAAAGUGUGAAUUCCCCAGUGCAGAUAAUUUCUAAACUAUCUUACAUCUAUGAAUACCCACCAACACUCCUUAUCAUGAACAUGCUUCUCUGUUUACUUUGUGUUAUGGAAUAAAUCCGAGUAUAUGACAGGGAGAGAUGGAAAUCUCUUUUCCACGCAGGAGACCCCGGGGAACUUCCUGUAUUUUCGUAACCCGGAUGAGAAGCUGUUGAUAACAGGAGUGUGUGGGUGCCAGCAGGGAUGGUGACAUUAGCGACAACUCAGAGGAAGAGGAAGUCAAUCAGCAAAGCGAGAGGGAGGAAGACAAUAGCUUUGUGGCAUGAGAGGAAAGCCAAGCGUGGAUAGUGGAUGUAAACACACACAGACACACAGGUAUCUCUCUUUGCAGGCUGGAGGGAAUAAAGAACUGUGGGCACACAUGUAUGCAUGCGUGCUUUAUGAGCGUGUGUAUGUGCAUUUGCAUUUCUGUGUGUAGGAGUGUGGGAUCACGCAGUAGUCUGUUUCGCACCUGGCUGGACCAGUAGUGAGUCAGCAGUGGUAAGUGGUGAGCUGUAUUAGUGCUGGACGAUAAUUCGAUAACAAUAUAUAUCGAUCGAUAGACGUGUGGAGCGAUAGAAAAAAAACGGGUCGAUAAAAAGUUCGAUAGAAAAACACAGUUUCCCUUUCUUUUUCAUCAUAGCCUAUCAUGUAGCUUUUACUACAGUCAUUACUUCCUCCCAACCAAUCACAAACGCAGACCCAGGUACGCUACGGCACCAAGCCCAGCCCCUAUCAAACCACAACAGACAGCACGUGUAUUAGAAAUAAUGUAACAGCAAGGAGAAGCGGAGGAAAUUGUCCCGAAAAAAGGUUUCAGUAGCUCACCAACAUGGCAAUGUUUUGGUUUUUAGAAGUCUGACAAAAAGCAAACAGCGGUCGUUUGCAAAAUUUGCAGAGAAUUAGUAAAAACCAAGUCCGGUAACACAACCAACUUGUUUUACCAUCUAAACCGGUCGCACCCGCAGGAUUACGAGCUGUGUCGGCCGCGCCGCGGCUCCACGUCGUCGUCGGAGGAAUCCUCUGGAACCGCUGUUGGCACCAGCACAAAGCAAGUGAAGCAGACCAAACUGGACUUCGUUUCUUGCCAAAAUACGACAAAGCGUCCAAGCGGCAUAAGGACAUCACCCAUGCAGUAACAUGCUCCAUAGCGAGGGACAUACUGCCAAUAACUACCGUUGAAAAGCCUGAAAAGCCUCGACCAGCUUCUAGCCACUCUCGACCCGCGAUAUGAAGUGCCCGGCCGCAAGUAUUUCUCAAACACAGCGCUUCAGGCAUGAAAAUGGGUCAGGGGUUGAAAAGGUGAGAAGGGUGCGGAGGAAAUACGCUCCGGUGUAGCUUCUUAAAGUGGAAGAAAAUGAGCUCAUAUUUUACAAAGACGCGAGUAUUUGGAUCAUGGCUACUAGCAGGGGGGGCAUUCGGCAGGGGUGCAUUCUACGACACAACACCGGCGUGGAUAAGUCCUGCUUCUCGUGCUUAGUUUGUUUAUUAAGUCAAUCACAUGAUAUUUAAAAAAAAUAAAUCUCCCGACCCCAGGAGAAAUAUUUCAGUGUUCAGACACCAGGCUGUGGGCAGUUUCCCACACAGUUAAAACUGGUAGUAUGCUAUUCCCACCUAAAGCUAUUCUGUUUAUUUAUAUAUUUGUUUGUUUUGUUUAUUUUCAUCAAAAGACUAUUUAAAUAUUUAUUUAUCAGAUUUUCUGGUCACUUUAGUCUUUAUGUUUGUCAGUAUUUACUGACGUCACUCAGGCCACUUAAGUUGAUUUUUUUUUUUUAAGUUCUUUUUUAAAAAAACUUUCAGUUGUGGUAAAAAAAAAAAAGGUGGUUGAAUAAAGGUUUGAAUUUGAAUUCAGUGCUUGUGUGUUCUUUAUUAAAAGUAGGUCAUUAAGCAAUAGCAUAAAACAUCCAGGGCUGCAAUUAAAAUAUAUGUUAAAUAAUUAUAAUAAUUAUAUCGAUAAUUAUCGAUAUCGAUCAAUAUGAUUUAUUUUUUAUCGAUAUGCUUUUUUUCUAUAUCGUCCAGGCCUAAGCUGUAUUCCCUGUCACACAGCUAAAAGUUGUGUUAACCUUUAAGACAAAAGGCUGUGACGUGUGUGGGCUUCUGCUAAUCCUGUGAGGGAAGCCAACUGAAUGUCAUGUAUUCUUCUAGCAGCCAUCAAAAUCUGAUUGAAAGUGUGUGGUCCACGUUUCUCAGGAAACAGCAAGUGGAACUCAACUGUGAGGGCAUUUGGUCUUUGGUCCUCUGCUUGCUUUUUUUCCUCAUAUUUACCUUGACCUCAGCUCAUAUUGAGAGACCCCCAGCACACUGUACUUCCUAAAUAGUCUGCCAUUUUUAUCUACUUUUGUUUGUCUUCAGAAUUUAACUUGACAAGACUAAUUCUACAUUUACAUCCAAUACCACAGCUAAGUCUCCCGUGAAUAAUAGUUAGAAUAACAAUAAUCAUAACGGUUUUCAGUUUUCUUCUGGACAUUUGCAGCAGCAGCAGGCUCGGCAAGUUGACUCUGACAUCCUUCUCUCCAGGAAUGUCCUCCAAGACCAAAUAUGUAAAAGCUCUGUGUCCACCCGCAGUCUUUUUAUAGUCGUACAUGCCUGGAAAAUCUCCAAACCAGGGCGAUGAAGAGUUCGAUUUAUCAUAGGCCCAAACCACCUCAAUUUUGUGCCUUUAAUGUGACAGCAUAGUGCACCACUCUGGGUUUUCUGAAUUAGGGUUGUCUCAGUUUCAGAAUUUUCUUUUCUUGUUAUUAAUUAUGAAAACAUCAUAAAUAAGAUUAUUUGAGAGAAAAAUGCAUAACUCAAACAAAAUAUCCUCUGUAUCAGUGUGUGUCACUGUGUGCGUCUGCAGAGGGUGUGGCUCUCUCUCUGUAUUGUCUAAUCUUCUCACAAAUGUGGUCAUUUUAUGAGCAUCAGUCAUUACAUCAGUACGGCAGUGUUGAGCUCUGAAAUCACAGAGUCUUUGUGCUGUCUGCAAAAUACCUAUAUGCAGUAUGUUUUAUUUUAGAUGCUUAAGGACUUAACAAAACUGCAAUAUUGGCCAACCUGUAAAUUAGGAGAUUUGAUGGUAGUGGCUGCAGCAGUGAAUCAGAAGCAAAGAAACACACGAGCUGCGUUUACAUGGGCACAAAUAAUUGGAAUAUAUGCCCGAUAGGAUAUGCGUCAUGUAAACGUGUCAAUCAGAAGAUUCUGAUUCAAUUCGGCUCAAUUGGAAAGAAAUUGUAUUCUGAUCAAGAGGGGUGAUUUAUGCCGAUCGUUAUUCCGAAACGUGUCCAUGUAAACACUUAUUCCUAUUGUGACUCUCUUACCUUUGGCUUUAGCCUUUUGCUCAUUUAUUGAGGCCAUUUCAUAAAGUUCAUAUAAACAGUGGAUUCAGAUUAUCUGAUCACUCAGUGUUUUAAUCGAAUAAAGAAAUUUUGCACAUGUAAACAUGGCUAUUGACAAAUGCAAGUUCAGUUACAACCAAACCAAAUCCAGCACAGUCCUGCACUUUUGUGUGGAAGUGUAGUUCUUUAAGGCGUUAACCAAUCAGAAAAUACCUUUUUGUUUUUUCCGAUAUCAAAGUAUCAAAAUUUAUUACAGCCUCACUCUGGAUGUCUGGGUCCGAAACUUAUUUUUAUGCUAAUCAAAUUAUUACUGAUGCUGCACCAACAUGUCUGUCAAUCUUAUAAUUCAAUGUACCUUCACUCAUGAGUAGGGCCGCCAGUUACUUGAACUCUGUAGCUUGAGGCAGAAAGUCAGUCCCACUUAGUCAUUCAUUGUUUUUAGCAGACUUGCGGGUGCUGAAUUUCAUCCCAUAAACUGUCAACUUGCACCAAGAGAAUGGAAUCACAUCAGUCCCAAAAAGGCGAGACAUAGUUGUGAGGUUCCCAAAUCAAACACUCUCCUUCCCUGGAUUCAUCUCAAAACACCACUGUGAAUCUCUGACAAGGUGGACAGGCUUGAAGGCUAAAACAGAGUCUGGCUUGUAGCAGUGGCUCUGAAACUAGACUUUUAAAAGAGGACAUAACCAAGUUCUUCAAGUCUUGACAGCACCAAGUGGACGUGUGGAUGAGUGAACUCCACAUUGUCCUUUUAGCAACCCUGCAAGGGUAAAGAGGCGAUCCUCUGUUUAAAGGCUAUAAAAGAAUUAAGAUCACUCCCCCUGUUUUAGCACGAGAGGUAAUCCUCCAAAAUCCUUAUCUGCAUUGAAAUGUAGUUCACUUUGGGAAGUAUUUAAGUAUUUGAUCAUUCUUGUUUCUGCUUAGUGUGAGGAUGUUUUAUGUUUUUUGAGGGCAACUC
Non-coding RNA from Xyrichtys novacula (pearly razorfish), 10235 nucleotides. The record is from the annotation of a GenBank genome assembly. Lineage: Eukaryota; Metazoa; Chordata; Actinopteri; Labriformes; Labridae.